Tribolium castaneum (red flour beetle) is the source of this 649-nucleotide RNA transcript. RefSeq lists it as uncharacterized. NCBI's taxonomy places the organism in Eukaryota, Metazoa, Arthropoda, Insecta, Coleoptera, Tenebrionidae. The record is from RefSeq and is a predicted model, not a curated record. The transcript has 3 exons.
UUCACUGAAAAAUUUUACGAACUUAUUAACAGUUCGUACAAGGCGCGUUUUUCCUAAUUUUUUUUUUCGUUAGUGGGUAAGAUAAGCAUUUCAGCCUUCAUUCCGAUACCGGUCAGUGCUUGAUUGUUUGGUCCCGAAAAUUAAUUCGCAAUAUCGAGCCAGGAGAUCGUUCUCUUGGGAGAAAAAGAUGCCAUCAUAUGAUUCGCAACAAAACUUGUCUCCAGCUCCCGGAAAUGCUCCACCGCGUGAUAAAAAAAUUGAUAUGAAAAAGCUGAAAACUUGUAUUUGGAGACAGUUGACUGGAGAACAGGGAACCGUCCAGCCAACCAAAUUUUCAACUGUAUUUGAACAGUUGCCACAGUUAGCUCCAGAGAUGGGCGAGGAUCUAAGCCCCCAUUUGGCCGUUCUAUCUGUAUUACACCUUUGCACUGAUGAGAAUUUGGGUUUGGAAGCAACCGACGAAAAUGGCGACUUCACCAUAACUAAGGACCUGAAUUAAAGUCUCCAGUGCAGAUCGUCGUCGACUAUACGCCUCUCAAAUCGUUUUUGUCAUUUGUUAUUUUUUGUUACUUGUUUGAAUUUUCCUUGUCAUGUAUUGCAAGUAAAAAAAGUAUUAAUAAAAUUUAAUACGUAUACGUUAAAAUGAAAA